AGUGAACGCUGGCGGUAGGCCUAACACAUGCAAGUCGAACGGCAGCACAGUAAGAGCUUGCUCUUACGGGUGGCGAGUGGCGGACGGGUGCGGAAUACAUCGGAAUCUACUUUUUCGUGGGGGAUAACGUAGGGAAACUUACGCUAAUACCGCAUACGACCUACGGGGGAAAGCAGGGGAUCUUCGGACCUUGCGCGAUUGAAUGAGCCGAUGUCGGAUUAGCUAGUUGGCGGGGUAAAGGCCCACCAAGGCGACGAUCCGUAGCUGGUCUGAGAGGAUGAUCAGCCACACUGGAACUGAGACACGGUCCAGACUCCUACGGGAGGCAGCAGUGGGGAAUAUUGGACAAUGGGCGCAAGCCUGAUCCAGCCAUACCGCGUGGGUGAAGAAGGCCUUCGGGUUGUAAAGCCCUUUUGUUGGGAAAGAAAAGCAGCAGGUUAAUACCCCGCUGUUCUGACGGUACCCAAAGAAUAAGCACCGGCUAACUUCGUG
This 492-nucleotide ribosomal RNA is filed under the name uncultured bacterium. RNAcentral's name for it is "partial 16S ribosomal RNA". It matches the Rfam family "Bacterial small subunit ribosomal RNA", at positions 29 to 507 of the family's 1533-position model. The record is from RNAcentral.